Molecule: ribosomal RNA, 236 nt
Filed under: uncultured bacterium
Lineage: Bacteria
Description: partial 16S ribosomal RNA
Rfam family: Bacterial small subunit ribosomal RNA
Source: RNAcentral
CGGGACGGGUGAGUAACGCGUGGAUAACCUGCCUCACACUGGGGGAUAACAGUUAGAAAUGACUGCUAAUACCGCAUAAGCGCACAGUACCGCAUGGUACAGUGUGAAAAACUCCGGUGGUGUGAGAUGGAUCCGCGUCUAAUUAGCCAGUUGGCGGGGUAACGGCCCACCAAAGCGACGAUCAGUAGCCGACCUGAGAGGGUGACCGGCCACAUUGGGACUGAGACACGGCCCAA